RNAcentral lists this microRNA precursor (84 nucleotides) under Bombyx mori (domestic silkworm). RNAcentral's name for it is "mir-2807 microRNA precursor family". It matches the Rfam family "mir-2807 microRNA precursor family". The record is from Rfam by way of RNAcentral. Lineage: Eukaryota; Metazoa; Arthropoda; Insecta; Lepidoptera; Bombycidae.
UUAGCUCAUGUUUGUAUGGAAUGGGAUCGUUUGCGUACGUUUGCCGCUAGGGGCGCUGUUCCAACUGCAUACAAAAAUGGCUUA